Molecule: long non-coding RNA, 1352 nt
Filed under: Oryctolagus cuniculus (rabbit)
Lineage: Eukaryota; Metazoa; Chordata; Mammalia; Lagomorpha; Leporidae
Description: lncRNA (ENSOCUG00000037848.1)
Source: RNAcentral
AUGAGGAGGUGGACGAUUGUGCAGAGAGGUCUCCUGACUCGCUCCAGAGGAGAAGCACGAGAUGAAAGGCAGCUUCCCAACCCUGCUCUGUUUUCUCUGACACCGAGGUGCCACAGCAGGGCGGGCGUGGCGUGGUCUGAACCCCACUGUAUUCGGCCAUGCUGGAGUGUCUGCCAACAUGAUGAAGAAGCGGACGUCCCACAAGUAAGCCGUUCUGAAACCUGCUUUUGGAUCGCAUGUUGGGCCCUGGGGCAGCUGGCGUGUGGGGUCACUGAGGAGGCCGAGGGAGGGGUUCUCGGCUCAGCAGCCCCGCGCCUGGCGAGUCACUGUGUGCAGUCACGCCCCCUGGCUGCAGGGAGCCGGCUCUGCCUUUCACCCUGAGAAGCCUCUGGGUCAUGACCCCCUUCCUGUGUGCUGGGAGCUGGCCAGCUGUGGGAGAGUGGCAGGCCCGAGGGCACGUCUCCUGCCUCUCCUGGGUUGGGUCUGCUGUUGGAUAAGGAGCUCCUCUGGCGCUGAGACCAUUUCUUAUGUGGGGCGGGGCUCCCAGCAUCUGCCACCCUUGCUGCUUUGUCACAUUUUUACCUGAGUGAAAACCCUGUAAUGUAGGGAAAGCGACUGCAUGUCAGAGGAGAAUGCAGUAGCCAUGCAUGUAAAAAGAUGGCUCCACCCUGUGUUCUCUAGGCACCAGAGGACAGAAACUGCUUUCUUCCCCAAAGGAAUUGCUUUUGGCUGACAUAGUUGGAUCCAGAACAGAGAACUGAGAUGUUCUCUUCAUUGUAACGGUCCCACGUACAUCUGCUAGCACAGCCCCAGCCUCCCUGGGUCCUCGUCGUGCCCUGGUGACGGUGCCAUGGCGCUGACCGUGUGGGUGGUGUGAGUCUCCUUAGUCGUGGAGAAAGCACUCAGACCCGACAGGUGUUGGUUUCAGAUGAUUCAUGUGGACACUUCUGCCCCUUCGUCUCGGCGCUGGUGGCUGAAGACAGGAGUCGUGGCUGCCGAGGAAGGUCUGGACAGAUAGGGCUGUUGUGAUUGUGGUUGAGCCAGAGAGUUCCUGUUGGAAUGGAUACAGGAUAUUCACUGUAGAUAUUCGUGGUAAUCCGUUGGCGAAACAGCAAGUGAAAAUGCAAAGGUUAAGUAAGUAUGCCUGCUUCCCCGAGGUUUCAAGUGUUUCUCAAAUAUCACUGAUUUGCUCCUUAACCUUCAUGGUUUUGCCAUAUCCAGGAAUUUGAUAAUGUAUGCGAUAGAUGUCCCAUCAUUAUCAUGUCAAUAUCAUAAAUGGUAACCAUCCCUUACCACAAAUGGAAGACAUUAACGAAAAUAAAAUACAAGCCUUAAAUAUUAAAUGAUAGUUA